This 843-nucleotide ribosomal RNA is filed under the name uncultured bacterium. Its description in RNAcentral is "bacterial SSU rRNA". It matches the Rfam family "Bacterial small subunit ribosomal RNA", at positions 23 to 866 of the family's 1533-position model. The record is from RNAcentral.
GUCAGGAUGAACGCUGGCGGCGUGCCUAACACAUGCAAGUCGAGCGAAGCGCUUUACUUGAAUUCUUCGGAAGGAAAGUAUUGUGACUGAGCGGCGGACGGGUGAGUAACGCGUGGGUAACCUGCCUCAUACAGGGGGAUAACAGUUAGAAAUGACUGCUAAUACCGCAUAAGACCACAGCACCGCAUGGUGCGGGGGUAAAAACUCCGGUGGUAUGAGAUGGACCCGCGUCUGAUUAGCUAGUUGGUAAGGUAAGGGCUUACCAAGGCGACGAUCAGUAGCCGACCUGAGAGGGUGAUCGGCCACAUUGGGACUGAGACACGGCCCAAACUCCUACGGGAGGCAGCAGUGGGGAAUAUUGCACAAUGGGGGAAACCCUGAUGCAGCGACGCCGCGUGAGUGAUGAAGUAUUUCGGUAUGUAAAGCUCUAUCAGCAGGGAAGAAAAUGACGGUACCUGACUAAGAAGCACCGGCUAAAUACGUGCCAGCAGCCGCGGUAAUACGUAUGGUGCAAGCGUUAUCCGGAUUUACUGGGUGUAAAGGGAGCGUAGACGGAGAGGCAAGUCUGAUGUGAAAACCCGGGGCUCAACCCCGGGACUGCAUUGGAAACUGUUUUUCUAGAGUGUCGGAGAGGCAAGUGGAAUUCCUAGUGUAGCGGUGAAAUGCGUAGAUAUUAGGAGGAACACCAGUGGCGAAGGCGGCUUGCUGGACGAUGACUGACGUUGAGGCUCGAAAGCGUGGGGAGCAAACAGGAUUAGAUACCCUGGUAGUCCACGCCGUAAACGAUGACUACUAGGUGUCGGGUGGCAAAGCCAUUCGGUGCCGCAGCAAACGCAAUAAGUA